CGCUAGCGGCAGGCCUAACACAUGCAAGUCGAGGGGCAGCAUAUCGCUUCGGUGAUGAUGGCGACCGGCGCACGGGUGAGUAACACGUUUGCAACCUACCCUUAACUGGGGGAUAGCCCGGAGAAAUUUGGAUUAAUACCCCAUAAUGUUUUAGAACGGCAUCAUUCUUUUAUUAAAGCUCCGGCGGUUAAGGAUGGGCAUGCGUGACAUUAGUUUGUUGGUGAGGUAACAGCUCACCAAGACUACGAUGUCUAUGGGGUCUGAGAGGAUGAUCCCACACACUGGUACUGAGACACGGACCAGACUCCUACGGGAGGCAGCAGUGAGGAAUAUUGGUCAAUGGACGCAAGUCUGAACCAGCCAUGCCGCGUGCAGGAUGACGGCCCUAUGGGUUGUAAACUGCUUUUAUAUAGGAAGAAACCCCCCUACGUGUAGGGGGCUGACGGUACUGUAAGAAUAAGCAUCGGCUAACUCCGUGCCAGCAGCCGCGGUAAUACGGAGGAUGCAAGCGUUAUCCGGAUUUAUUGGGUUUAAAGGGUGCGUANGCG
Molecule: ribosomal RNA, 548 nt
Filed under: uncultured bacterium
Lineage: Bacteria
Description: bacterial SSU rRNA
Rfam family: Bacterial small subunit ribosomal RNA
Source: RNAcentral